GACGAACGCUGGCGGCGUGCCUAACACAUGCAAGUCGAGCGGAGACAUGUUGUGGAAGUUUUCGGAUGGAAGCGAUAUGUUUUAGCGGCGGACGGGUGAGUAACGCGUGAGCAACCUUUCCUUGACAGGGGGAUAACGUACCGAAAGGUACACUAAUACCGCAUAAGGCCACAGCACCGCAUGGUGCAGGGGUGAAAUGGAGCAAUCUGGUCAAGGGUGGGCUCGCGUCCGAUUAGCUAGUUGGUGAGGUGACGGCCCACCAAGGCGACGAUCGGUAGCCGACCUGAGAGGGUGAUCGGCCACAUUGGAACUGAGAUACGGUCCAAACUCCUACGGGAGGCAGCAGUGGGGAAUAUUGGGCAAUGGGGGGAACCCUGACCCAGCAACGCCGCGUGAAGGAAGAAGGCCUUCGGGUUGUAAACUUCUAUCCUUGGUGAAGAGGAGAAGACGGUAGCCAAGAAGGAAGCCCCGGCUAACUACGUGCCAGCAGCCGCGGUAAUACGUAGGGGGCAAGCGUUGUCCGGAAUGAUUGGGCGUAAAGGGCGUGUAGGCGGCGAUUUAAGUCUGGAGUGAAAGUCCUGCUUUUAAGGUGGGAAUUGCUUUGGAUACUGGAUGGCUAGAGUGCAGGAGAGGUUAGUGGAAUUCCCAGUGUAGCGGUGAAAUGCGUAGAGAUUGGGAGGAACACCAGUGGCGAAGGCGACUAACUGGACUGUAACUGACGCUGAGGCGCGAAAGUGUGGGGAGCAAACAAGAUUAGAUACCCUGGUAGUCCACACUGUAAACGC
Molecule: ribosomal RNA, 785 nt
Filed under: uncultured bacterium
Lineage: Bacteria
Description: bacterial SSU rRNA
Rfam family: Bacterial small subunit ribosomal RNA
Source: RNAcentral